GAUGAACGCUAGCGGCAGGCCUAACACAUGCAAGUCGAGGGGGAGGUUACUUUCGGGUAACUGAGACCGGCGUACGGGUGCGUAACGCGUAUACAAUCUGCCUUUCACUGGGGGAUAGCCCGAAGAAAUUUGGAUUAAUACCCCAUAGUAUAGUAAUACGGCAUCGUGAUGCUAUUAAAGCUUAGGUGGUGAAAGAUGAGUAUGCGUUCGAUUAGCUAGUUGGUGAGGUAACGGCUCCCCAAGGCGAUGAUAGAGAGGGGUUCUGAGAGGGAUGUCCCCCACACUGGUACUGAGAUACGGACCAGACUCCUACGGGAGGCAGCAGUGAGGAAUAUUAGACAAUGGUCGGAAGACUGAUCCAGCCAUGCCGCGUGCAGGAUGAAGGUCUUAUGGAUUGUAAACUGCUUUUGUAAGGGAAGAAUAAGGGCUACGCGUAGUUUGAUGACGGUACCUUACGAAUAAGCAUCGGCUAACUCCGUG
This 480-nucleotide ribosomal RNA is filed under the name uncultured bacterium. Its description in RNAcentral is "partial 16S ribosomal RNA". It matches the Rfam family "Bacterial small subunit ribosomal RNA", at positions 28 to 507 of the family's 1533-position model. The record is from RNAcentral.